Clostridium pasteurianum BC1 is the source of this 116-nucleotide non-coding RNA. Lineage: Bacteria; Bacillati; Bacillota; Clostridia; Eubacteriales; Clostridiaceae. The record is from Rfam.
GGAGGUGGGCCCUCCGGAGCCGGCAUACAGGUGCAGGUUUCAAACCACCAUUGGGUGCUGCAACCAAAAGUUGUGGUGCUGAGCGCGUAUGGAAAAGGCUGCAGUAGCAGUCAGGU